AAGCGGAGGAAAAGAAACCAACAGGGAUUGCCCCAGUAGCGGCGAGUGAAGCGGCAAAAGCUCAGAUUUGAAAUCGCGUUAGCGAGUUGUAGAGUGUAGGUGGGAGUGUCUGUGGAGCACGGUGUCCAAGUCCCUUGGAACAGGGUGCCUUAGAGGGUGAGAGCCCCGUGGGGUGCUGUGCGAAGCUUUGAGACCCCGCUGACGAGUCGAGUUGUUUGGGAAUGCAGCUCUAAGUGGGUGGUAAAUUCCAUCUAAGGCUAAAUAUUGGCGAGAGACCGAUAGCGAACAAGUACUGUGAAGGAAAGAUGAAAAGCACUUUGAAAAGAGAGUGAAACAGCACGUGAAAUUGUUGAAAGGGAAGGGUAUUGGGCCCGACAUGGGGAGUGCGCAUCGUUGUCUCUUGUAGGCGGCGCUCUGGGCGCUCUCUGGGCCAGCAUCGGUUCCUGCUGCGAGAGAAUGGGUGCCGGAAAGUGGCUCUUCGGAGUGUUAUAGCCGGCGCCAGAUGUCGCGUGUGGGGACCGAGGACUGCGGCUUCUGUCUCGGAUGCUGGCACAACGGCGCAAUACCGCCCGUCUUGA
This 578-nucleotide ribosomal RNA is filed under the name Pichia sp. NCYC 4044. RNAcentral describes it as "eukaryotic LSU rRNA". It matches the Rfam family "Eukaryotic large subunit ribosomal RNA", at positions 48 to 657 of the family's 3401-position model. The record is from RNAcentral. Lineage: Eukaryota; Fungi; Ascomycota; Pichiomycetes; Pichiales; Pichiaceae.